Molecule: unclassified non-coding RNA, 21 nt
Filed under: Chlamydomonas reinhardtii
Lineage: Eukaryota; Viridiplantae; Chlorophyta; Chlorophyceae; Chlamydomonadales; Chlamydomonadaceae
Description: small RNA Cre_3492
Source: RNAcentral
UGGUGUACGUGGCAUGGGACG